RNAcentral lists this ribosomal RNA (520 nucleotides) under Eremotylus sp. Msp397. Its description in RNAcentral is "partial large subunit ribosomal RNA". It matches the Rfam family "Archaeal large subunit ribosomal RNA", at positions 1902 to 2674 of the family's 2987-position model. Lineage: Eukaryota; Metazoa; Arthropoda; Insecta; Hymenoptera; Ichneumonidae. The record is from RNAcentral.
AAAACAUGGUCUUUUGUUUAUAUAAAAGAUCUGGCCUGCCCAAUGAUGAUUUUAAUGGCUGCAGUAUUUUGACUGUACAAAGGUAGCAUAAUCACUUGUCUUUUAAUUGGAGUCUGGAAUGAAUGGUUGGAUGAAAGAUUUACUUUCUUUAUUUUAAAUAUAAAAUUUAAUUUUUAAAUUAAAAAGUUUAGAUAUUAAUAGAGGACGAGAAGACCCUAUAGAACUUCAUUUAUAAUACGUAUUUAUUAUUUUGUUAAUCAUAAAUAUAUAUUUUUUAUAUAAAUUAUAUUGGGGUGAUAGAAAAAAUUUUUUAACUUUUUCUUAUUUAUUCAUUUAUAUAUGUAUUUUUGAUCCUUUAUUACGGAGUAUAAGAAUAAGUUACCUUAGGGAUAACAGCGUUAUUAUUUUAGAGAGUUCAUAUUGAUAAAAUAGUUUGCGACCUCGAUGUUGGAUUAAAAUUAGCUCCGGGGGUAGAAUAUCGAGAGUUAAGUCUGUUCGACUUUUAAAUUUUUACAUGAUC